UACAGAGGGUGCAAGCGUUAAUCGGAAUUACUGGGCGUAAAGCGCGCGUAGGUGGUUUGUUAAGUUGGAUGUGAAAUCCCCGGGCUCAACCUGGGAACUGCAUUCAAAACUGACUGACUAGAGUAUGGUAGAGGGUGGUGGAAUUUCCUGUGUAGCGGUGAAAUGCGUAGAUAUAGGAAGGAACACCAGUGGCGAAGGCGACCACCUGGACUGAUACUGACACUGAGGUGCGAAAGCUAGGGGAGCGAAUGGG
Molecule: ribosomal RNA, 253 nt
Filed under: uncultured bacterium
Lineage: Bacteria
Description: partial 16S ribosomal RNA
Rfam family: Bacterial small subunit ribosomal RNA
Source: RNAcentral